UGACUUUUUUGUUAGAUUUAUUUUUCAGGAAAGGCUUCUGUAACAGUGGUAGACGUUGAAGCUGAAGUGAAAGAUAUUGAUUAAUUCAUGUCAAAACUAUGAUAAGUGUGUUGGUAGUUGGUACAUAUGGCCAGAACAAAACAUGAGAAAAAUGUCACGCCAUCAUACUAGUAAAAAAAAACCUGUUUUGAGAGAGAGAGGGAGAGAGAGCAUCCCAUGUAAAACUGUUUUGAGAGAGAGAGGGAGAGAGAGCAUCCCAUGUAAAAUUCAGUGAUAAAAGAUCUGAUUGGUGUUGGUUCUUUGUGUAAGUAGAGUUAAUGUGAUAGAGGCUUGUGAGAUUUAGGACUCGGUGUGGGUGAUUAAUGUUUGCAAAGGAAUAUGUGCAAUAGUGGAAAAGGGUGCUUGCGUUGUAUAUUUGUAAUGUUGGAGCUUGAUUUUGAAACGUACAGCAUUCACUCUCUCUCUCUCUCUUGAGCAAUGGUUUAUUAUUUGGGACAUUCUCUAUC
Molecule: non-coding RNA, 506 nt
Organism: Amborella trichopoda
Lineage: Eukaryota; Viridiplantae; Streptophyta; Magnoliopsida; Amborellales; Amborellaceae
Source: RefSeq, a predicted model, not a curated record